UACGGCCGCAUCACGUUGAAACACCGGUUCCCGUACGAUCACCGAAGUUAGGCAACGUCGAAUAAGGUCAGUACCUAGUUGGGGUGCUCGCUUGAGAAUAGCAGGUGCUGUAAG
Molecule: non-coding RNA, 114 nt
Organism: Acanthosepion pharaonis
Lineage: Eukaryota; Metazoa; Mollusca; Cephalopoda; Sepiida; Sepiidae
Source: the annotation of a GenBank genome assembly